UACAUAGGAAUCUACCUUAUAGUUUGGUUAAAUACCUUAUAUUUCAAAGACUGUGUCGCUAUAAGAUGAGCCUUUGUAGGAUUAGGUAGUUGGUAAGGUAAUAGCUUACCAAGCCGAUGAUCCUUAAUUGGUCUGAGAGGAUGUACAGUCACACUAGAACUGAGACAAGGUCUAGACAUCUACGGAUGGCAGCAGUGAGGAAUCUUGAACAAUGGGCGCAAGCUUGAUUCAGCGAUAUAGAGUGAAUGAUGACAGUCAUUUGAUUGUAAAGUUCUUUUACCAAGGAAGAUUUUGACUUUA
RNAcentral lists this ribosomal RNA (300 nucleotides) under uncultured bacterium. Its description in RNAcentral is "bacterial SSU rRNA". It matches the Rfam family "Bacterial small subunit ribosomal RNA", at positions 134 to 459 of the family's 1533-position model. The record is from RNAcentral.